GGUCACGCUCUGCAUGCUUCAGCUUCAUCCUCAAAAAAAAGGAAAACUACUUGUUAAUGUGUGUGGCACACCAGAAAUAACCCCCAAAGGAAUAUAAUCAAGCUCCGGGUCAACAUCAACUGGUCGAUGACAGGAGCACCUCUUUGCUUCCAGAGAGCAACAGGGCGCAGACGUCCUAUCCAUGACAACGGGGCGUUGUGAGCAAGCCCCGCCCACUGACAGCUGCCUCAUUGUGUGCUGAGCCUCCGAAGCGGUUUGUUCCUCUUUGCUUGGACAGUUCAAUAACUAAUCUCAAUGCAGCCAGCAGCCUGUGGUUUUGAAAAUGAAGAGGGCAGGCCCGAUGGAAAGUCCUGAUUGGCGUGGCGGUGUUGGGUGUUGUUUGUGUGUGUGUGUGUGUGUGUGUGCGUGCGUGUGUGUGUUGGGUAAUUGGAAGGUUAUAUUGUCAGUUCACAUGAGCGUUCAGGGCCAGGACAGGGAGAACACACCCUGGCUGCACAAAUAGAGUAAGACAACACUGUUAAAGUUCAAAUGGACUUUGGUGUUAAGCUUAUAAUGGGUUUUUAUAAUGGGACGCUUUUCUUUUUAACUGUUAAAAUGUAUUUUGCCAAAAGUUGUGCACAGGCCUGAUGGAUAGUAUUAUUAAACUCGCCUAAUUAAACUGUGAAUAUUUAUCACAUUAAUUACAUUUUUCAUUCAGCCUCCGCAGAAUCCUUUGGUUUGUAAUCAAGUAAGUCACAUCAAAGGUUAUUGCGCCACGUUUGCAAUUAUUCAGCCCAAGAUUUCAAAUGACAUUUUGAGCUGUCAUCCUAUCGUCUCCACCUUCAGUAAUGAAAUGUGAGAAAGGGCAGCCGUAGUUUGGUCUCCAUCCUUGAGUUCAUCCAUCCGUCUGUCACAUCUGAGAUCAGUGGGGAUGAUGCAUCAACAAAGAGCACGUCCUCUCUGACAUAACGUGCUGCUUUAUGGACCGCGUUGACCUGUCGAUCCAACGGUUGCUGCCAGUGACAUCACACACCGGCCCCCACGAGCUUUUGGAUCCCGCUGAUGUGACCGCACACGGGCCACGCGAGCAGCCCCCCGCCCCCCCGUCCCCAAACCCUCGCUCCCUCCCUCCGUCACAUGUAAGCUGACGAACAGCAGGCUCGUGUUCUCGAUGGAGGAGCCUUUUGGGCCACAAGAACCAUGUGUACUCACCACUUUCUGCUUGGACACACGCAAACAAUGGGACACGUCUGGAGUGCUUGGGGCCCAGACCCCGAGGAAGGGCAGAUGGUGCCCGGGAUCGAGCACCACAACCCUAUUAACAUGAGAAAAGAGAGGGACAGAGGCGGGGGGGGGGAAGAGGGGACAGGUACCCUCUCUCCUAUUUUCCCCUCUUGCUUAGACGUUAGAGAGGGGGGGCGACUCAUAGUCUGUGGUGCGGAUGUGAAACUCAAUUAGGGGAAAAGCUGUCAAUUCAAGAGCAGACAAUAUUGAAUGUGAGGAUUCUGUUUAUAUUUAAGAGAGUCCCAUCUAUUCUUACUCAUAUUCAAGACCUGCAGCUCCUGACUUAUUUAGAAUGUUUUCAUUUUGCAUGAGAAAAAUUAUUUUCCUACAUAGAUUGAAAGCUAUAUUUUUUAAUACAACGUUAUGGAAAAAAAUGUGAAGAUUUGAAGAUUUAACUGUUUUGUUAUGUGCGUGUCUACUGUUCAUCUGGAUUAUCUUUUAAUUUUUAAUGAAUGAGUCAAAUGAUGGAGCUUUCUUCCAUUCAAUUAUGAUCUUUAUUUGAAAUGUCAGCAAG
Molecule: long non-coding RNA, 1777 nt
Organism: Gasterosteus aculeatus aculeatus (three-spined stickleback)
Lineage: Eukaryota; Metazoa; Chordata; Actinopteri; Perciformes; Gasterosteidae
Source: Ensembl